GAAGUGCGAGAAGUGUCACGACUUGCAGAAUCCCGAGAGCUGACAAAUCUCUGAAUGCAAAUUGCGGCCGAUGAACUCGGCCAUGUAUCGUAGAGUGUAGUAGUGCAUACACACCAUCUCUCUUUCUUUCUCCAUCCGUGGAGGGAGGAACAAGAGGAUCUGCACUUGUCCGCGGACGCAUUGAGUACGUGGGCGAGAGUAAAGAGACGGUACGAGGAGACGUCACACAAAGAACCCUCCUUGUGCUUCGGAAAACAUGAAUUUCCUGUGUGAUUGAAUUCACGCGGGAGCCAACAAAUUCUACAACACACCUCUGCGAUGCAGGAAAACCCGCUGAACUUAA
RNAcentral lists this unclassified non-coding RNA (343 nucleotides) under uncultured fungus. RNAcentral's name for it is "sequence contains ITS1". The stretch from base 1 to 100 matches the Rfam family "5.8S ribosomal RNA", at positions 50 to 154 of the family's 154-position model. Lineage: Eukaryota; Fungi. The record is from RNAcentral.